CACAACAGCAACAACAACAGUCAACGCAACAACAAUCGCAGCAGCAACAAACACAACAACAAGAUCCAUCACCGAGACAUGUGAGAUAGCCUAAAUUUUGGAGUCAAUUCAGUUCACAGGAUGUUAUCUCCAUGAAUUGUAGUGUACGCUUAAAAACAAACGAAAUUGAUUUGGCAUUAUUA
Molecule: long non-coding RNA, 182 nt
Organism: Musca vetustissima
Lineage: Eukaryota; Metazoa; Arthropoda; Insecta; Diptera; Muscidae
Exons: 2
Source: RefSeq, a predicted model, not a curated record